UGCUGGAGGUAUCAGAAGUGCGAAUGCUGACAUAAGUAACGAUAAAGCGGGUGAAAAGCCCGCUCGCCGGAAGACCAAGGGUUCCUGUCCAACGUUAAUCGGGGCAGGGUGAGUCGACCCCUAAGGCGAGGCCGAAAGGCGUAGUCGAUGGGAAACGGGUUAAUAUUCCCGUACUUGGUGUUACUGCGAAGGGGGGACGGAGAAGGCUAUGUUGGCCGGGCGACGGUUGUCCCGGUUUAAGCGUGUAGGCUGGUUUUCCAGGCAAAUCCGGAAAAUCAAGGCUGAGGCGUGACGACGAGGCACUACGGUGCUGAAGCAACAAAUGCCCUGCUUCCAGGAAAAGCCUCUAAGCAUCAGGUAACACGAAAUCGUACCCCAAACCGACACAGGUGGUCAGGUAGAGAAUACCAAGGCGCUUGAGAGAACUCGGGUGAAGGAACUAGGCAAAAUGGUGCCGUAACUUCGGGAGAAGGCACGCUGACACGUAGGUGAAGUGAUUUACUCAUGGAGCUGAAGUCAGUCGAAGAUACCAGCUGGCUGCAACUGUUUAUUAAAAACACAGCACUGUGCAAACACGAAAGUGGACGUAUACGGUGUGACGCCUGCCCGGUGCCGGAAGGUUAAUUGAUGGGGUCAGCGCAAGCGAAGCUCCUGAUCGAAGCCCCGGUAAACGGCGGCCGUAACUAUAACGGUCCUAAGGUAGCGAAAUUCCUUGUCGGGUAAGUUCCGACCUGCACGAAUGGCGUAAUGAUGGCCAGGCUGUCUCCACCCGAGACUCAGUGAAAUUGAACUCGCUGUGAAGAUGCAGUGUACCCGCGGCAAGACGGAAAGACCCCGUGAACCUUUACUAUAGCUUGACACUGAACAUUGAGCCUUGAUGUGUAGGAUAGGUGGGAGGCUUUGAAGUGUGGACGCCAGUCUGCAUGGAGCCGACCUUGAAAUACCACCCUUUAAUGUUUGAUGUUCUAACGUGGACCCGUAAUCCGGGUUGCGGACAGUGUCUGGUGGGUAGUUUGACUGGGGCGGUCUCCUCCUAAAGAGUAACGGAGGAGCACGAAGGUUGGCUAAUCCUGGUCGGACAUCAGGAGGUUAGUGCAAUGGCAUAAGCCAGCUUGACUGCGAGCGUGACGGCGCGAGCAGGUGCGAAAGCAGGUCAUAGUGAUCCGGUGGUUCUGAAUGGAAGGGCCAUCGCUCAACGGAUAAAAGGUACUCCGGGGAUAACAGGCUGAUACCGCCCAAGAGUUCAUAUCGACGGCGGUGUUUGGCACCUCGAUGUCGGCUCAUCACAUCCUGGGGCUGAAGUAGGUCCCAAGGGUAUGGCUGUUCGCCAUUUAAAGUGGUACGCGAGCUGGGUUUAGAACGUCGUGAGACAGUUCGGUCCCUAUCUGCCGUGGGCGCUGGAGAACUGAGGGGGGCUGCUCCUAGUACGAGAGGACCGGAGUGGACGCAUCACUGGUGUUCGGGUUGUCAUGCCAAUGGCACUGCCCGGUAGCUAAAUGCGGAAGAGAUAAGUGCUGAAAGCAUCUAAGCACGAAACUUGCCCCGAGAUGAGUUCUCCCUGAGACUUAGAGUCUCCUGAAGGAACGUUGAAGACGACGACGUUGAUAGGCCGGGUGUGUAAGCGCAGCGAUGCGUUGAGCUAACCGGUACUAAUGAACCGUGAGGCUUAACCUUACAACGCCGAAG
RNAcentral lists this ribosomal RNA (1686 nucleotides) under Salmonella enterica. RNAcentral's name for it is "bacterial LSU rRNA". It matches the Rfam family "Bacterial large subunit ribosomal RNA", at positions 1271 to 2925 of the family's 2925-position model. The record is from RNAcentral. Lineage: Bacteria; Pseudomonadati; Pseudomonadota; Gammaproteobacteria; Enterobacterales; Enterobacteriaceae.